Molecule: non-coding RNA, 326 nt
Organism: Paramuricea clavata
Lineage: Eukaryota; Metazoa; Cnidaria; Anthozoa; Malacalcyonacea; Plexauridae
Source: the annotation of a GenBank genome assembly
GAAGAUAUAAUUCAGAAAUAUGCCGCCAUAAAAUACACUUCUAUUCAGCCGUGCUUAUGUUGCUAUCUUGCCGACUGGCCCGACUGCAUCAUUUAUCACUACAGACACUAGUGUUUCAGUCAAGACAUCUGAUUCGACUUUCCGUAUACUCGCAAUUAAUAGUAAUCUCGGCACAAAGUCAAAGUAUAACUAUAUUAAAUGUUCCAUAUGGUCUCCUAUAUUAGCUUGUAUUCGCUUUUUUGCAUAGAAAUACUUUCAAAAUCUUAAAACCUUAAGUAUUUCUGCUGUACAAUAUGUGACAUACAUUUGCUGGACAUCAUAGUAUG